This 100-nucleotide microRNA precursor is filed under the name Paramuricea clavata. Lineage: Eukaryota; Metazoa; Cnidaria; Anthozoa; Malacalcyonacea; Plexauridae. The record is from RNAcentral.
ACGAAUGUAUUCCUUCCACUCGUGAGCUCAUUUACCAUUGUCACAUAUAGUAAAUGUCCAGGCCUUGUGACAAUGGUAAAUGAGCUCACGAGUGGAAGGA